Long non-coding RNA from Cyprinus carpio (common carp), 1781 nucleotides. The record is from Ensembl. Lineage: Eukaryota; Metazoa; Chordata; Actinopteri; Cypriniformes; Cyprinidae.
CUUGCCUAAAAAAACGACGGCAAGAAAUAGUUAGCUUGCCAUCUUCGCUGUCAGAGGAUGCUGUGACCGCGUCUCCAUGGUGACGCUGACAGAGAACGAUCCAUCACAGCCGGGUGACGCGGAGACUGUCUGUCAGAUGGAGCUCUCUCCCGCUCGCUCUCUGUCUUCAUGACACCUGUAAGUGGUGCAGGUGAAGUCGCUCUAAGCAGACCUCUGUUGACAGUGUAAACACACACAGCAGGAAGAUCGGCCUUAUUGUGACGCAGGAGUGGCAGGAAACGCCUCUGGAUUUAUAUCAUAAGCAAAAAGAAACUCUCUAGUUGGCUUUAUGUUCCAUUUCUCAAUGAAAAACGCGGAAAAUGCACCUCAAAGUGGACUUUUUGUGUUUUAUUCAGACAGGGAGACUUCGAGGCCUGAACCUGUAGGCUUUAGAUACUGGAAAACACCUGAAAAAACACCAUCCGUCCUCCAUCAGGCUUCGGGAUCCGUGAGGUCUGAGGGAGGACGAAAUGGACCACAAGCCUGGAAUCCGAAAGCCGAGAUAGACACAUGCCACGCUGGACCACAUCCCAUGUUGAGAAAUCCCACAUGCAGGCGUGGAAGUGCGCCGGAGUCCUUCAGCUCCUCGAUAUCGUCCAUCACUAUCACUUCCAGGAAGGUCACGCACACAAACUCCAGGCCUCUGAGUCCAGCGAUGAAUAGCCUUGCCGAUGGACACAGAAAAGCUUUAGUGGUCAAAGUCACUGAACAGAGGACGAAAAGCACUUCCAGUCUGCCCAUCGCCUCGACCUCUGGCUCUGAUCAUGAAGAGAUGGACCAUGGUGUGGUCCUGAGAAGAAAGGCAACCAUUGUGAAAAUGACCGAACAGAGAGAGCGUUUCAGUCCAGUGAAAUACAGACACAGCUACACUGAAGGACUCCAUAAUGAAUCUAAAGUCAAUCCCUCACCAUUAAACCAACCGUUAACUAUAUCUCUAGAGCCAGGAGGAAACCAGUGGAGGUCCCAGCACAGAUCUAGCCUAUCUCUCUACCUCAACAACCCAAACGAUAGCAGCGCAGUAGGGGAGAGCAACACCAAAACACACAAGCCACCUCGAAGGCCUCUCAGCUGCGACGCAAGCCUGUUUAACCACACAGAACUUGGCAGUAAUGCAGUUACACAGCCAGCGUUUCACAACAAGAGCUCUCCUGUUCCCCAGAAGACAAAUAUUGACCUUGUUAGUUCCAGCAGCAGCGAAGCAAGAAGGCGCUGGGCCUCCGGUGGCGAGGAUGGGAGCGAGAGGAAAGAGUGGAAUCGUGAGGAACCUAUUUCAGGAAUCAAUCCUCUCAAACUACUAAAAGCACCAGGUACCAGCAGAACCCGCGUGGAUAUGCGGCGGUAGACACACAAGAGCACACUCUAGACUGAGGCUGCGCGGUGCCGCUUUGAUGUAUAAUGGAUGAGUAUUAUCGUGCGAGAGAGCAGAGGUUUUUAAUUGAGGCUUUUCACGGCAGAUACGCACGGUAGAGGUGGACGGCCCUGAAACAGGAGAUUUCUCCGCUGUCUCUCUCUCUCUGUCUUGCGUUUUUUCAUCUUUUCAUUUUCCCACGCAUCUCUUUGCAUGCAUAAUCUAUUUCUACCCUGCUUUCAAUACCGGUUUUUGAGCUUCCGUGGGAAUUUAGAGCUGCUGCACACAGAGAGAAAUCUGACAGCCAGUGAAAAACAUGCGUACACACAUUUAACUAUCUGAGGACAUGCAUAGAUGACUACUGUUUGAAAUAAAGUCACUUAGAAUUAUUUCA